Non-coding RNA from Sardina pilchardus (European sardine), 570 nucleotides. Lineage: Eukaryota; Metazoa; Chordata; Actinopteri; Clupeiformes; Clupeidae. The record is from the annotation of a RefSeq genome assembly.
AUGCAUUAUUCAGCCAUGUGUCUAUCACAGCUUCUUUUAGUGGCUCUUUGUCUAACAGGUGCAGCUGGUCAGACACUGACUGAAUCAGAGCCAGUAGUUAUUAGACCUGGAGGAUCUCACAAACUGACCUGCACCACGUCUGCGUUCACAUUUAGCAGCUAUGAAAUGAGCUGGAUCAGACAAGCUCCUGGUAAAGGCCUGGAGUGGAUUACUUAUAUCGGCACAUACAGUACCCCAAUCUACUACUCCCAGUCAGUCCGGGGGAGAUUCACCAUCUCCAGGGAUGAUUCCAGAAGUGAGCUCUACUUACAGAUGCGCAGCCUGAAGAGUGAAGACACUGCUGUGUAUUACUGUGCUCGUGAACACAGUGGAGGAAGGCAGAAGCCAGGCUCCUGGGAAGUCUAUCUGUCUUACCUGCAACGUAAAGUAUUCAUUGUCUAUAAGCUGAAAAACUGCAUCUACAGAGACCCCUCCAGCAGCACAGUGACUGUCUACAGACUGGAGACGCAGUUGGGUAUUACUGUACCCAAAAAAACCCCACAGAACUACAUCCGUACAACACACCAUUAA